GCAGUCGAACGAUGAAGCCUGGUGCUUGCACCGGGUGGAUUAGUGGCGAACGGGUGAGUAUCACGUGAGUAACCUACCCUUGACUCUGGGAUAAGCCCGGGAAACUGGGUCUAAUACCGGAUAUGACCAGUCACCGCAUGGUGUGCUGGUGGAAAGCUUUAGCGGUUUUGGAUGGACUCGCGGCCUAUCAGCUAGACGGUGAGGUAAUGGCUCACCGUGGCGAUGACGGGUAGCCGGCCUGAGAGGGUGACCGGCCACACUGGGACUGAGACACGGCCCAGACUCCUACGGGAGGCAGCAGUGGGGAAUAUUGCACAAUGGGCGCAAGCCUGAUGCAGCGACGCCGCGUGUGGGAUGACGGCCUUCGGGUUGUAAACCACUUUCAGCAGGGAAGAAGCUUUUUGUGACGGUACCUGCAGAAGAAGCGCCGGCUAACUACGUGCCAGCAGCCGCGGUAAUACGUAGGGCGCGAGCGUUAUCCGGAAUUAUUGGGCGUAAAGAGCUCGUAGGCGGUUUGUCACGUCUGCUGUGAAAGCCCGGGGCUUAACCCCGGGUGUGCAGUGGGUACGGGCAGACUGGAGUGCAGUAGGGGAGACUGGAAUUCCUGGUGUAGCGGUGAAAUGCGCAGAUAUCAGGAGGAACACCGAUGGCGAAGGCAGGUCUCUGGGCUGUUACUGACGCUGAGGAGCGAAAGCAUGGGGAGCGAACAGGAUUAGAUACCCUGGUAGUCCAUGCCGUAAACGUUGGGCACUAGGUGUGGGGAACAUUCCACGUUUUCCGCGCCGUAGCUAACGCAUUAAGUGCCCCGCCUGGGG
Molecule: ribosomal RNA, 815 nt
Filed under: Nesterenkonia sp. MCCC 1A10571
Lineage: Bacteria; Bacillati; Actinomycetota; Actinomycetes; Micrococcales; Micrococcaceae
Description: bacterial SSU rRNA
Rfam family: Bacterial small subunit ribosomal RNA
Source: RNAcentral